CUUUUAUGCAAAUUCCCAGGGACUUUAACCUGAGAAAAUUUAGCAGCUGCUGGCUUGGUCUUAAUACACCUUGCCUCUCUGUAUGAUCGGGAACUAUCAGGAACUUGAUGAGCUGACAAAUGUGCUCCAUGCUUGCAACACAGCAGGGAAGAAAUUGCAGCACCUGGAAAUCCCCGUGGAAUGCAAGAGGAAGAAAAUUAGAGAAAGGAAAAUAAUUGAAGCUGGGAUUGAAAGAGCUGCUUCAAUCAGAACUGGGGAAGACAACAGUGAACCUGGAUGAAGCUCCAAGCAAAUUACGGAAGAAUUCAUUGGAUGCAUUAGCAACACCCUGGGAAGACCAGAUGUGACCAGAAUUGUUUCAAGGAAUUGACGUAUUUUCCCCCUCCAUCAGCACUGACGUAUUUUUUUUUUUCAAAAUGAUUGGCAGCUUCUCUCUUCUCUUGGAUCAACUGUGAGGCUUCGGGUUCCCGAGACAAUUUUUUUUUUUAAUAUUGGUGCAUCCAGCGAGUGAAACAUUUCCAUAGUUAGAUACUGGACUGCCUUUCCACCCCCCGCUCCCCUCUUCUGCUUGCAAAAAUACUUUUUUUCUCUGCUGUAAAAAGAUAAGUGGGCUUUUUUCAACAGGUGAAUGAACCAGAUAAAACACCACCGACUGUCAAUUUUAACAUUUGGGAAAAAAAAAAAAGAAAAUAUGGUGAAUUAGAAAAAUAGGAGCCUACCAAUCUAAGCAGACCCCACAAAAGAGCUUUCUGUGUAAUAAUAAUAACAAUAACAACAACAACAACAACAAUAACAACAACAACAACAAUAAUAAUAAUGGUACUCAGCACACUGGGUGCUGUGCCUAAAGACCUAGGCAAGCACUUAAAAACAAUUGGCGCUGACAAGAUCACCAUUGGUCAGCUGCAGAAGGCCACCUUACUGGGAUCUGCUCGCAUAAUCCGCUGAUACAUCACGCAGUCCUAAACACUUGGGAAGUGUUCGACUAGUGAUUUGUGAUACGAAACGCAGCAUAGUUAUCUCAUUUGCUGUGUAC
Molecule: long non-coding RNA, 1036 nt
Filed under: Naja naja (Indian cobra)
Lineage: Eukaryota; Metazoa; Chordata; Lepidosauria; Squamata; Elapidae
Description: lncRNA (ENSNNAG00000018545.1)
Source: RNAcentral